Molecule: small nucleolar RNA, 107 nt
Organism: Lactuca sativa (garden lettuce)
Lineage: Eukaryota; Viridiplantae; Streptophyta; Magnoliopsida; Asterales; Asteraceae
Source: RefSeq, a predicted model, not a curated record
AGAUUGUGUUGGGGGAAAUUCCUAAGUAUACCUUUGUACCUCUCCCAUGCUUUAAACAAAGACUCGCCAUCAUUUUCUUGGAAGUUUUCUAUUUUUUUCUUAAGCUU